UGUGCCACACCGCAGGUAGAAGACAAAGAAGAAUCUUCUCGUCACCAUCAUGGUACCCCUCAAAGUGCGCCUAUAAAAAUGGGAAAAAAUGUCAGCUAGAUUCAAUUCGUCAGUGAGCCUCGCGGGCAAGGUGAGGGUGCGGUCGCCGUCAUGCAUGGGCAAGUCCCUUGUCCCAGAUCAACAUGUGUUGGCAAUGAGCACCAAAGAAGACGACGACCGUGAUGCACUGCACCCGUCCACCUCUAAGGACUCUCACUUUCGCUACAGCCUCAGGACAACCUUUAUUGUGCUGCUUGGACUUACACAUUCCUUAAUAGAGACGAAAAGUUUUCGUUUUCCCGUGGGGGAGAAACAUGAAAUAACGUACUCUGGCGGGAUUGGCGAACAAUGCAGGCCAGAGCAACAUUUUGGGGUGCCUGGAAUACUCUGAUGUAUGGGGAACUGCUGAAAUAAAGAAGAGGAAAAUGCA
This is a long non-coding RNA of Ornithodoros turicata, 469 nucleotides long. RefSeq lists it as uncharacterized. The record is from RefSeq and is a predicted model, not a curated record. The transcript is spliced from 2 exons. NCBI's taxonomy places the organism in Eukaryota, Metazoa, Arthropoda, Arachnida, Ixodida, Argasidae.